UUCCGGUUGAUCCUGCCGGAGGCCAUUGCUAUCGGAGUCCGAUUUAGCCAUGCUAGUCGUGCGAGUUCAGACUCGCGGCACCAAGCUCAGUAACACGUGGCCAAACUACCCUACAGAGACGGAUACCCUCGGGAAACUGAGGUUAACCCGUCAUACCGAUCUCAGGCUUGAAUCGCAGAGAUCACAAAAUGCCCCGGCGCUGUAGGAUGUGGCUGCGGUUGAUUAGGUAGACGGUGGGGUAACGGCCCACCGUGCCCAUAAUCAGUACAGGUUGUGAGAGCAAGAACCUGGAGACGGAAUCUGAGACAAGAUUCCGGGCCCUACGGGGCGCAGCAGGCGCGAAACCUUUACACUGCACGCACGUGCGAUAAGGGGACUCCGAGUGCGAGGGCAUAUCGUCCUCGCUUUCGUGUACCGUAGGGUGGUACACCAACAAGGGCUGGGCAAGACCGGUGCCAGCCGCCGCGGUAAUACCGGCAGCCCGAGUGAUGGCCGAUCUUAUUGGGCCUAAAGCGUCCGUAGCUGGCUACGCAAGUCCGUCGGGAAAUCCACUCGCCCAACGAGUGGGCGUCCGACGGAAACUGCAUAGCUUGGGACCGGAAGGCUCGAAGGGUACGUUCGGGGUAGGAGUGAAAUCCCAUAAUCCCGCACGGACCACCGAUGGCGAAAGCACUUCGAGAAAACGGAUCCGACAGUGAGGGACGAAAGCCAGGGUCUCCAACCGGAUUAGAUACCCGGGUAGUCCUGGCCGUAAACAAUGUUCGCUAGGUAUGACACAGACUACGCGUCUCUGUUGUGCCGUAGGGAAGCCGAGAAGCGAACCGCCUGGGAAGUACGUCUGCAAGGAUGAAACUUAAAGGAAUUGGCGGGGGAGCACUACAACCGGAGGAGCCUGCGGUUUAAUUGGAGUCAACGCCGGA
This 920-nucleotide ribosomal RNA is filed under the name uncultured archaeon. RNAcentral's name for it is "bacterial SSU rRNA". It matches the Rfam family "Archaeal small subunit ribosomal RNA", at positions 1 to 922 of the family's 1478-position model. The record is from RNAcentral.